Molecule: ribosomal RNA, 516 nt
Filed under: uncultured Bacillota bacterium
Lineage: Bacteria; Bacillati; Bacillota
Description: bacterial SSU rRNA
Rfam family: Bacterial small subunit ribosomal RNA
Source: RNAcentral
AGAGUUUGAUCCUGGCUCAGGAUGAACGCUGGCGGCGUGCCUAACACAUGCAAGUCGAGCGAGACGGUUAUGAAAGAUCCUUCGGGUGAUUGAUUAACUAGAAAGCGGCGGACGGGUGAGUAACGCGUGGGUAACCUGCCCCAUACACAGGGAUAGCCAUUGGAAACGAUGAUUAAUACCUGAUAAUACUGAGAUAACACAUGUUGACUUAGUCAAAGAUUUAUCGGUAUGGGAUGGACCCGCGUCUGAUUAGCUAGUUGGUAAGGUAACGGCUUACCAAGGCGACGAUCAGUAGCCGACCUGAGAGGGUGAUCGGCCACACUGGAACUGAGACACGGUCCAGACUCCUACGGGAGGCAGCAGUGGGGAAUAUUGCACAAUGGGCGCAAGCCUGAUGCAGCAACGCCGCGUGAACGAAGAAGGCCUUCGGGUCGUAAAGUUCUUUUCUUAGGGAAGAAAAAUGACGGUACCUAAGGAAUAAGCACCGGCUAAAUACGUGCCAGCAGCCGCGGUAAU